This 377-nucleotide ribosomal RNA is filed under the name uncultured bacterium. RNAcentral describes it as "bacterial SSU rRNA". It matches the Rfam family "Bacterial small subunit ribosomal RNA", at positions 523 to 898 of the family's 1533-position model. The record is from RNAcentral.
AUACGAAGGUGGCAAGCGUUAUUCGAAAUCACUGGGCUUAAAGGGUGCGUAGGCGGAUCUGAAAGUGUCUUGUGAAAUCCCUCGGCUUAACCGAGGAAUGGCUGGGCAAACUACAGGUCUUGAGGCAAGUAGGGGUGUGUGGAACUCUUGGUGGAGCGGUGGAAUGCGUAGAUAUCAAGAGGAACGCCGAAGGUGAAGACAGCACACUGGACUUGUUCUGACGCUGAGGCACGAAAGCGUGGGGAGCAAACAGGAUUAGAUACCCUGGUAGUCCACGCCGUAAACGAUGUGCACUAGGUCGCGGAGGUUCUGACACCGUCGCGGUCGUAGCAAAAGUGUUAAGUGCACCGCCUGGGGAGUACGGUCGCAAGGCUAAA